GUUAAGUGACUUGCCCAGGGUCACACAGCUACUUACAGCACCCAACAAUCUUCUGGAGGUUUGGAGUCAACUAUCACAUGAACUGAAAAGACCCUUGGAACACCAACAUUUGGCCUUCCUGACUAUGAAACCAGAUGACAGCAUGAAACAUCUCAGCCCUAAGAUGUGAUGUGCUGCUGACAUGGACACUGAGAAUGGGUUACUAGGAAAGAGACUGAAUGUUCACUCUUCCCUCUCGUUCCUUUCCCAUGUGUCUGCUGCCUCUGUCCACAAGGCCCACUUGUGGAAAAGGACUGACCCCAAUGGAUGGUGUCAAUUUGUCAAUCUUUCUCUCUCUAUCUCCCCUCUCAUGCUAUUCCCAUCAUGGUAAAACACCUACAUCUCAUAAUUAACAAUUCUUAAUGAAGUGUUUAGUGCCUUCAGGUCUUUUUGUAUCCUGGUGUGUCAGAAGAAAGGAUAAAUUUGAUGUCAUUUGAUAAUUGGCUAUUAGCUAGUGAUUCACUGAGGAAAGUGUUUCUCAGUGAAUCAAAAGGGGGAAUUGAAAAGGUCAAAACUAAUAUUACUGAUUUCUACUAUAUUGAUUUUGUGCUAUAUUGAUUUUUAUAAUUGAGUUAGUAUUUGCCUGGCUCAUCUUGCUCAGGAAUGCAGUUUUCCCUCCAAGUUAGUUUAAAAGUAUGGAUGAAAGAGAAUGUUGUUAUCACUCAUGCCAUUAGCCCCAGAGGAACAUCUGCUUAUUGUCUGUAACCCCCAACCAGAUUAAAAUGGUGCCAUCCUCCAAAAGACAUGUUGUUUGUCCUUACAUGUCCUUGUACAAUUAGCGAUGGGGUUUGAUCUCCCCCAAGGUGACAGCAUACCUGGUGGUACUGAUCUCUUAGUCAAGAUUACAAGAAAUAGAUGAGUCCUUAAUUGUCAGAGAGGCAUGUGAUUAGCCAUACCUGAAUGCCAAUCUACUUUUCCUAGUAUAACCAAUUAUUUCCCAGACCCACCCUCCAUUCCUGUGUGUCAAUAAAGAGGGUCCCCCCCCUUCUCAUUGGGUUUCUGGCCUUACUGAGAUGGCCAACCUGACCUGCUUUGUACAUCAUUGUUAAUAAACUGUUUAUGCUCAGA
Molecule: long non-coding RNA, 1107 nt
Organism: Vombatus ursinus (common wombat)
Lineage: Eukaryota; Metazoa; Chordata; Mammalia; Diprotodontia; Vombatidae
Exons: 3
Source: RefSeq, a predicted model, not a curated record